CCUACGGGGUGCAGCAGUGAGGAAUAUUGGUCAAUGGCCGGAAGGCUGAACCAGCAAAGCCGCGUGAAGGACGAAGGUGCCAAGCAUUGUAAACUUCUUUUGUCAGGGAGCAAAAUCAGGCUCGAGAGCCUGACCGAGGGUACUUAAAGAAAAAGCAUCGGCUAACUCCGUGCCAGCAGCCGCGGUAAUACGGAGGAUGCGAGCGUUAUCCGGAUUUAUGGGGGUAAAGGGGUGCGUAGGCGGGCUGUUAAGUCAGCGGUAAAAGCCCGGGGCUCAACCCCGGCGAGCCGUUGAAACUGGCUGUCUUGAGAUGUCGAGAGGUAUGCGGAAUGCGCAGUGUAGCGGUGAAAUGCGUAGAUAUUGCGCAGAACUCCGAUUGCGAAGGCAGCAUACCGGCGGCGAUCUGACGCUGAGGCACGAAAGCGUGGGUAUCGAACAGGAUUAGAUACCCCUGUAGUC
RNAcentral lists this ribosomal RNA (459 nucleotides) under uncultured bacterium. Its description in RNAcentral is "partial 16S ribosomal RNA". It matches the Rfam family "Bacterial small subunit ribosomal RNA", at positions 338 to 795 of the family's 1533-position model. The record is from RNAcentral.